This 2107-nucleotide long non-coding RNA is filed under the name Sorghum bicolor (sorghum). RNAcentral describes it as "long non-coding RNA (SBIC_LNC009209)". Lineage: Eukaryota; Viridiplantae; Streptophyta; Magnoliopsida; Poales; Poaceae. The record is from RNAcentral.
UAAAUAGACCGGCACGAAGGCACGGCACAGGCAGAGAUAUAAUAGAGACAGAUCAUGUAUUAAACGAGAUCGGAGAUGUAUGACAUGUAUAGACGACUAUGAUCAAGAAUCAUCAACAUACAAGGGUAUGAGAAAAGAACAAGGGUUUCGUCGACGUCGCGAAGGGCGUCGACUAAGUGCAAAAAGGUCGACCUUGACGAACGCGAGGAAGGUGGCGGAGGCCUCCUGCUGCCUGGAGCACGACACGGUGGCGGAGCGAGGCCAACGGACUGAGUAGCCUGGCUGUGACGUCACGGACGAUGAGAACGGAGCGAUGCGUCGUGGUUCCUGGUGACACGCCCCUGCGGCUUGACCAAAGGUGACAUGGGCCCCUGCGUUAGUGAAAGCAGUGGCGCGAAGGCCGACUGUUAACCAAGAACCACGGCAUGGUCUUCAGAAUGGAAUGGAAGGUAUGGCCUUGGUUGGGAGCUCACCGGCAGAGGAAUGGAGCCAUAGCGAGAUACUGGGUGCUCCUGCUGCUGUCCUUGGGUGCGAUGCAGGGGCUCGGCUUGCAGCGUCGAUGGAGACCGGGCACGGGCUCGAGGGCUCGAAGGCGAGGUCGGGGCCGUGGACGCCGAACGGGGUCGCGGUCACCACGGCCGCGGCGUCGCGACGGCGGGUGCGCGGGGACGGGGCUCGGCUCCGCGGGGCGUCCACGCGGCCGGCCAGGUCGGUGUCACAGAGGAUGCCGAGGUCGAGGGCGAGGACGUCGUUGUCAACAGGCUCGACGAAGAGGAAGGGGCGCGGCCGGGGCGGUGGCGCGGGGCGAAGCUUGACGUGGCAGGGUGGAGCUCGGUGCAGAGCGCCGCCGUGGGCAGCACGGCGUCGUGGACGAGGAGCUUGACGCGGCGGGCGGCUCCGGCGCUUGGUGAACUCGACGUCGGGGCGUCCACGGGCUCCGGGGGCGAGGUGCUCGGCGAAGUGGCUCGCACUGGUGCCCGGCGCGCGGCAUCGGUGGCUCUGUCGAUGGCGUCGCGGGGUCGAGGGCGAGGGCGCACGGCAUCCUGGGCGCGACGAGGUCGAGGGCGCGGACGCGUCGGGCGAGGUCGGUGAGGACGAGGCGGGGCGUCGCGACGGCGGCUCGGCGGGCAGCAAGGGAAGAGGAGACGGGGUGGCAGCGUCAAGGGAGAGCAGAAGGCGGCGUCGGCGAUUUAUAGGCGUCGAGACUAGGGCUCCUAGGGUAGGGCGUCGAUCCUCGACGUCCGUGUCCGCAGCCGGACACGCGGCGCGGAUCAAGCGGGUGGGCACGGACGCCUAGGGCGCGAGGGGCUCGUGCGGGCGCUUGUCCAUGGCGGCGGCGUCGGGGAAGGCUGGGGGCGCGCGGCUUCCUUCGCUAGGGUUGGGGCGCAGGGGAGGCUCGCGGCUGGGCCUUGGCUGCUGCGCGGGCCGAGUUCUGGGCCGCAGAGGGGAAGGGAGGCCAAGCUGGGCUGACCGGCUGCUACGCAGGGGAGAAGGGAGGGAGGUGGGCCGACGCUGCGAGUUGGGCCAGGGCGAGGUCAGGCUGGGUCGCGCGCGCGGGUUGGCGCUGGGUCACGGGCCGGGAUGGCCAGCUAGGCUGCGCGCAGGGGCAGAGGGGAAGGGAACCUAGGCUGGGCCGAGGGAAGGAGGAAGAGGAAGUCAGGGGAAAAGAAAAGAAUUGGCCCAUGAAAGGAGAAGGGUUUUCCAUUUACGAAAUUGACUCAAGGGCUUUGAGGGAAAAUUAAAAAGGAUAUGUAGGGCAUUCGAGAGAGAACUCAAAAAGAGAUUGAGAUGGGUUUCCAUGAACUUAAGAUAGAUUUAGCGGUGGAGAUUUAGUGAUGAGAUCAACGAGAGAAAAUGUUUGAGAAGAGAAUUUUGAAAAAGAGUUCAAAAAGGAUUAAAGGAGUUUGAGACGUACUCCAACCGAAAGAUUGAGAAGGGAUUCGCUUCACCCUUGAGAUAGGCUCAACGGAGAUUGGGGAGUACUUGCUACAGAUUUGUGCACUCCAAAAGAAACUCAAAACCCUAAACAAGACUAAACUCCAAACCGACUCACGAACAAAGGCACUCACCUAGAAACAAAUCUAUAUGUAUGCCACGAUUUGUUAGC